UCCUACGGGAGGCAGCAGUGGGGAAUUUUACGCAAUGGGGGAAACCCUGACGUAGCGACACCGCGUGAGCGAAGAAGCCCUUUGGGGUGUAAAGCUCUGUCAGCUGGAACGAAAACAAUGACGGUACCAGCAGAGGAAGCAUCGGCUAACUACGUGCCAGCAGCCGCGGUAAGACGUAGGAUGCGAGCGUUGUCCGGAUUUAUUGGGCGUAAAGAGUUCGUAGGUGGUUUGUUAAGUUUGGUGUUAAAGAUCGGGGCUCAACCCUGGGACUGCACUGAAUACUGGCAGACUCGAGUGUGGUAGAGGCUAGUGGAAUUCCCAGUGUAGCGGUGAAAUGCGUAGAUAUUGGGAAGAACACCGGUGGCGUAGGCGACUAGCUGGGCCAUAACUGACGCUGAGGAACGAAAGCCAGGGGAGCGAAUGGGAUUAGAAACCCCAGUAGUCCCA
RNAcentral lists this ribosomal RNA (447 nucleotides) under uncultured organism. RNAcentral describes it as "partial 16S ribosomal RNA". It matches the Rfam family "Bacterial small subunit ribosomal RNA", at positions 337 to 798 of the family's 1533-position model. The record is from RNAcentral.